GGGUGCACUGUGCAUGUGUAUGUGAAUCAAAAAAAAAAAAUAACAGCACUGCGGACAAGGAAGGAAAGACAGAGUAUACAAAACACAAAGACAGAAUAACAAAAUUUUGUUCAAAUUCGGGAAGCGAACGGAUUUUGUGUAAAAAUAGAGUUUUUAAAGAAUUUAUUGCCCAGAAUUCGAUUUUUUUUGGCAUAAAGUCUAAAAUGGUUUCUCCGCACUGGCGUCACCAACGCUUUCAUACAGCGAGAGAGACAUAUUAUAGAAAAGAAAUAACUAUUUGAGAAGAUUGGUGGUGUUGGAAGAGGUUGGAGAUGGAUAAAUACUUGAGAAACACUUUAACAACUGUGGAUAACACGACUCCAAAAUUGGAUCACUUAAAACGUGCAGGUCCCGAAUAUCUGGAGGCUGAAAAGUUCCUUUCACUAGUUUUGAAGUUUUUUGGAAUUGAAGUCGCAGGAGAAGUUACGUUGACAAUGUAUCCAUUACUACUGAUUGUUGGACCUCGCGUGCUAAUGAGGCGUAUCUCACUCACUUCAUUAACGAAUGCUAUAAACUUAAGUCAGCAGUUUUGUCGACGCAAAAACUUGUAGAUGCAACUAACCACUGCGCUAGUAAUAUUGCGAACUCACUCAGCGCCGUUUUGAAUGAGUGGAACCUGUUAAAUAAGGUAGUAUCGAUUGUAACAGACAACGACGCGUCUAUGAAAGAAGCGUGCGAAUUAAUGAUGACAUAAAUUAAACAUUUACAUUGUGUCUUGCAUACUAUUAAUGUAUUAGUGCAAGAGUUCCUGAAAAUAGAUUCUAUAGUGCCCUUACUAGCAAGGUGUAAGAGAAUCGUAUCGUUUUUCAAAUCGAGUUCAAUCGCAACAAAGAAACUUAAAAAUGCAAAAAUUUCUGAAUCACGCUAUGGACUUGUACAAGAAGUUCCAACGCGUUGAAAUAGCGCGUACUAUAUGAUUCAACGGAUUAUUUUAGUAAAUGACUCGAUUUCUGCAGUGCUUCUAAACUCAACCAAAGCUCCAAGUCCAAUAUCAGCGGACGAAAUGAUCGUUCUGGAUGAGAUAUGUCAAGUUCUAGCUCCGUUUCACAGACUGCGUUUGAACGAUUGCCAGAGCGUUUCUCGCAUUACGAAACUCGGACUGUUACUAGAAUUGCUACAUUACUGGAUCCCAGAUUUAAAAAGGACGGUUUUUUGUUUUCAUCGAACUCAGAGCAAGCCGCGAAAGCUUUGCAGUUAGAGUUAUUUUCAAGUUUUUCCCGAGUUCCUUCCACACGUGAUAUUUCAACACCACCAGACACUCCACAAGAAAAAAAAAAAACAGUUUCUUUACUUUUUUAGGAACGAAAAUUUCAAAUAAAGUUCACUCGGAACUCAAUAAUGCUAUUGAGGGCGUAUUUUGCGAGACCUAAUGAGCCGGAGGAUAAGGAUCCCCUUGCUUAUUGGAUGGAAAACAGUGAGAGUCUAAAGCCAAUAACUAAACUUUGUAGAAAUUACCUGUGCAUUCCGGCCAGUUCAACAGAAUCUGAUAGAACCUUCAGUAAAGCUGGUCAGAUUGUAUCUGACCGCAGAGCAUCGCCUAAACCAAAAGUAUACAUGCUACUUUUUGUGAACAAAAACCAGAAACAAUGAUCUCUUGUUGUCUUAUUGUGAAUAUAAAAAAACAUUAUUUUGUUAUUACUAAAUA
This is a long non-coding RNA of Drosophila simulans, 1684 nucleotides long. RefSeq lists it as uncharacterized. The record is from RefSeq and is a predicted model, not a curated record. Lineage: Eukaryota; Metazoa; Arthropoda; Insecta; Diptera; Drosophilidae. The transcript has 4 exons.